RNAcentral lists this non-coding RNA (961 nucleotides) under Cnemaspis limi. RNAcentral describes it as "12S ribosomal RNA". It matches the Rfam family "Bacterial small subunit ribosomal RNA". The record is from RNAcentral. Lineage: Eukaryota; Metazoa; Chordata; Lepidosauria; Squamata; Gekkonidae.
CAUCGUCUUGGUCCCGAACAUUAAAUAACUUUUAGCUAGUACUACACAUGCAAACCUCCGUACUCCCGUGCCCCCGCCACCACUAUCAGCCCCGAGCCGGUAUCAGGCACACACCAGUAGCCCAAAACACCACGCCAGCGCCACACCCCCACGGGCCCCAGCAGUGACAGACCUUAAGCCAUGAGCCCACCAUCACAAGCUCGACCUAGAUAUAGCUACCCCUGAGCCGGCAAACUUCGUGCCAGCCGCCGCGGUUACACGAAGGGCCACAAGUAAUUUCCCCCGGCGUAAAGUGUGACUAAAGAACCGCUUUCCCAAACAAUGAAGCCUCAAUCCAAAUAUUAACGUAAAACACUUAUAUUCACGCGAAAACCGGCCCAGCUUCUAAACAAAAAGUACCAUGAUCCCACGAAACCUAAGACACAAACUAGGAUUAGACACCCUACUAUGCUUACACGCAUAAACCAAAAUCGUAAACUCCAAACCACGAUUCGCCCGAGGACUACAAGCGAAAAGCUUGAAACUCAAAGGACUUGACGGUGCCCCACCCCGCCCUAGAGGAGCCUGUCCCAUAAUCGAUAAUCCACGUUUUACCCAACCCCCUCAUGCACCAUCAGCCUAUAUACCGCCGUCGCCAGCCUACCUAAUGAUAGCAAUCACAGUAGACAAAAAAGUUUAUAACAAACACGUCAGGUCAAGGUGUAGCCAACGAGGGGGCGGAGAUGGGCUACAUUUUCUACCCUAAGAAAGCACCCACAGCACUAUGAAAUUAGGGCCACAAGAUGGAUUUAGCAGUAAGCCACGCAAGACCUGCUUGACUGAAGCUCGCCCUGGGACACGUACACACCGCCCGUCACCCUCCUCAAGCCGCCACCAAACACCAUAACUAAACCCACUAUUAGGCCUAAGAAGAGGUAAGUCGUAACAAGGUAAGCGCACCGGAAGGUGUGCUUGGAAGACA